GACGAACGCUGGGCGGCGUGCUUAACACAUGCAAGUCGAGCGGUAAGGCCCUUUCGGGGGUACACGAGCGGCGAACGGGUGAGUAACACGUGGGUGACCUGCCCUCAGCUCUGGGAUAAGCCUGGGAAACCGGGUCUAAUACCGGAUAUGACUCCACGGCGCAUGUUGUGGGGUGGAAAGCCUUGUGUGGCUUAGAGAUGGGCCCGCGGCCUAUCAGCUUGUUGGUGGGGUGANGGCCUACCAAGGCGACGACGGGUAGCCGGCCUCGAGAGGCGACCGGCCACACUGGGACUGAGACACGGCCCAGACUCCUACGGGAGGCAGCAGUGGGGAAUCUUGCGCAA
RNAcentral lists this ribosomal RNA (344 nucleotides) under uncultured bacterium. Its description in RNAcentral is "bacterial SSU rRNA". It matches the Rfam family "Bacterial small subunit ribosomal RNA", at positions 28 to 371 of the family's 1533-position model. The record is from RNAcentral.